This is a long non-coding RNA of Micropterus dolomieu (smallmouth bass), 230 nucleotides long. RefSeq lists it as uncharacterized. NCBI's taxonomy places the organism in Eukaryota, Metazoa, Chordata, Actinopteri, Centrarchiformes, Centrarchidae. The record is from RefSeq and is a predicted model, not a curated record. The transcript has 3 exons.
GAUUUCUGUUGGACAACCUUUGUUUUUGGACUCUGUCUUUAGCCACUCAGUUUCUUCAUGGUUUGCUCCUGCAGCUCUUAUGCAGGUGCUUGGGCCUACAACACUCCUUUGCCUCCGCCCCCUGCUAAAGAGACAACCAGGAAGAGGCAGGAUGGCCAGACCCCCCCUGUGGAACUACUCACAACAAAGACAGCUAUCAAAUGUUUCACAAAUUAAAUAAACAAUCAAAA